This 809-nucleotide ribosomal RNA is filed under the name uncultured Burkholderia sp. RNAcentral's name for it is "bacterial SSU rRNA". It matches the Rfam family "Bacterial small subunit ribosomal RNA", at positions 10 to 813 of the family's 1533-position model. Lineage: Bacteria; Pseudomonadati; Pseudomonadota; Betaproteobacteria; Burkholderiales; Burkholderiaceae. The record is from RNAcentral.
GGUUUGAUUAUGGCUCAGAUUGAACGCUGGCGGCAUGCCUUACACAUGCAAGUCGGACGGCAGCGCGGGGGCAACCCUGGCGGCGAGUGGCGAACGGGUGAGUAAUACAUCGGAACGUGUCCUGUAGUGGGGGAUAGCCCGGCGAAAGCCGGAUUAAUACCGCAUACGACCUAAGGGAGAAAGCGGGGGAUCUUCGGACCUCGCGCUAUAGGGGCGGCCGAUGGCAGAUUAGCUAGUUGGUGGGGUAAAGGCCUACCAAGGCGACGAUCUGUAGCUGGUCUGAGAGGACGACCAGCCACACUGGRACUGAGACACGGCCCAGACUCCUACGGGAGGCAGCAGUGGGGAAUUUUGGACAAUGGGGGCAACCCUGAUCCAGCAAUGCCGCGUGUGUGAAGAAGGCCUUCGGGUUGUAAAGCACUUUUGUCCGGAAAGAAAACUUCGCUCCUAAUAUGGGUGGAGGAUGACGGUACCGGAAGAAUAAGCACCGGCUAACUACGUGCCAGCAGCCGCGGUAAUACGUAGGGUGCGAGCGUUAAUCGGAAUUACUGGGCGUAAAGCGUGCGCAGGCGGUCUGUURAGACCGAUGUGAAAUCCCCGGGCUUAACCUGGGAACUGCAUUGGUGACUGGCAGGCUUUGAGUGUGGCAGAGGGGGGUAGAAUUCCACGUGUAGCAGUGAAAUGCGUAGAGAUGUGGAGGAAUACCGAUGGCGAAGGCAGCCCCCUGGGCCAACACUGACGCUCAUGCACGAAAGCGUGGGGAGCAAACAGGAUUAGAUACCCUGGUAGUCCACGCCCUAAACGAUGUC